Molecule: unclassified non-coding RNA, 16 nt
Filed under: Klebsiella pneumoniae subsp. pneumoniae BJ1-GA
Lineage: Bacteria; Pseudomonadati; Pseudomonadota; Gammaproteobacteria; Enterobacterales; Enterobacteriaceae
Description: SraD
Source: RNAcentral
GAUAACGCGAGGUUAA